Molecule: ribosomal RNA, 425 nt
Filed under: uncultured bacterium
Lineage: Bacteria
Description: partial 16S ribosomal RNA
Rfam family: Bacterial small subunit ribosomal RNA
Source: RNAcentral
GUGGGGAAUAUUGCACAAUGGGGGAAACCCUGAUGCAGCGACGCCGCGUGAGUGAAGAAGUAUUUCGGUACGUAAAGCUCUAUCAGCAAGGAAGAAAAUGACGGUACUUGACUAAGAAGCCCCGGCUAACUACGUGCCAGCAGCCGCGGUAAUACGUAGGGGGCAAGCGUUAUCCGGAUUUACUGGGUGUAAAGGGAGCGUAGACGGUAUGGUAAGUCAGAUGUGAAAGCCCGGGGCUCAACCCCGGGACUGCAUUUGAAACUAGCAGACUAGAGUGCAGGAGAGGUAAGUGGAAUUCCUAGUGUAGCGGUGAAAUGCGUAGAUAUUAGGAGGAACACCAGUGGCGAAGGCGGCUUACUGGACUGUAACUGACGUUGAGGCUCGAAAGCGUGGGGAGCAAACAGGAUUAGAAACCCCGGUAGUCC